RNAcentral lists this long non-coding RNA (21573 nucleotides) under Linum usitatissimum (flax). RNAcentral describes it as "long non-coding RNA (LUSI_LNC003184)". Lineage: Eukaryota; Viridiplantae; Streptophyta; Magnoliopsida; Malpighiales; Linaceae. The record is from RNAcentral.
UUUUUUUUUUUAUGUUGUUCUUCUGCCCAAGGUUUUUAAAUUCUUACCCAAAACCGUGUAAAUUCAACCAUGGUGGUGGCAGAGAAAAGGGGAAGUUAGGCAAAGUAGCAGCCCAUCAAAUAUCAAUAGUCAAUACGGAAGAAGACCCCAUUAAACAACAAACCAAGGAAUUGGGGGAAUGCCUUCCUUGUGAAAGUCUUAAAUAAAAGUCAUGGGAGAAACAAGGUAAAGGGAACUAACCCCCCCUUGGACAACUUUAUGCCCAUAAAGAGAAUUUAUUGAUUUGAUUGUACACAUCGGGUCAUGUGAUCGAGUCUGAUGAACGAUAAACUUAAGUAUGUGAACGAUCGUAUUAAUGCUUUAAAGCAGAGUUCAGGGUUUUGAAUUUUUACUAAUUAGGUUGUAGCUGGAAAUUCAGUACUCAUUUUUAUCAUUUUGUCACUUAUUGCUAUCUCAUCUAUGAAAAUAGUACACAUCCUAACUUGGUUGAGUUUCAAGUGCAACAAUCCACUGACCCAGAUAAGCUCUGUAAACAAACAUUGUAUUACUUGUUUUUCAUUACUAGAUAUAACGAACACGUACACUUUCUCCUAACGUCGCCUAAUAGUUUAUGCCGAUUAGAUGACGAGUUGAACCGAUUUGUAAGCAUUAUUGAUGAACCAACUAACAAAAAAUGUUCACCCAAAUGCGAAUUUAAGGCAAAGAGGGAGAGCUAGCUUAGCCAGGUACCCAAGGCUGUCAACAAAAAAGAUAGUGAAAAAUCUUUGUCAUAAGAAAACAGACAUGCUUGCAGAAUCACAAUCACCACAAGCUGACUUCCAUUUGCAGAAAUACUUCAUUUGUCCUUUUCUAUCAUCCCCUUCUUUUUAGGUCCUUAAAUACCCAACCUUGUUAUCAUUAGAAGGUUUUAUUUAGACCGUAUGUGAGAUUAAAUCGGAAAAUAUAUGGUUCACUUAUUUAAACAAUAAUUCAAUUAUGCUUUUAUUAUGAUACAUGAUUGAGUUAUUAAUCGAUUUGAUUACUCCUUAAUUUAUUUUUUAUUACUUUUUAUUCUCCAACUUGUCGUUAGUCUUUAUGAAAUUCGAUAUCUUUCGGACUAUUAUUUGUUAUUUUCCAAUUUGUGGUUAUGUUUAUUUCUUAUGGCUAUUUGUUGAUUUAUCUAAACUACUGAUUGGAAUGGUGAAAGUGUAGUACUUGACUACUUGUAUUUCCCAAUAGAUAUUAGCAAAACUCUUUUUGUUUUAAGGUGUUACACAACCACAAACCACACAUCCACCCUUACUACUAAGGACCACCAAACCUCAUAUCUCUUGCUUUUCUUGCCAUUGAAUUCCCCUAUUCAAUGCUACCUUGUCUAGUACUUCCCAUUACACAAAUUUCUAUUGCUUCUUUCUCCAUGUAUGAUAUAUAGUAUAUAAAUGUAAAUUUGUGAAGCUCAACAUUUGUAAAGUUUGGUCAUACUUGUUAGGAAGGUGAACUUGUCAAAAUGGUAUGUUCAUUAAGGUCGGCCCACUCCACAUUUAUUGUGUACAAGAUUCUAUAUCAUCAUUUGGGCUAAAGUAGUCAUGGUACAUUUUAUACCUUCUUACUUUUCAAGUUUCAACCCCAUACCGUACCCGUAUAUAACUUUUGUGGAUGGUAAAACAUUAAUGAUAACAAUUAAUCUUAGUUNNNNNNNNNNNNNNNNNNNNNNNNNNNNNNNNNAGAUUCGAAUCUAGGAUGUGGAGAAUGUUUGAUCAAUGUAUAUUCACAUAUUUUCUCAACAUCAAUAUCGUAUAUGGAAUAAGUAAAAAGGAUGACAAGUCCUUGUGGGAUCUGGGAUCGGUAUUGCAUGUUGUUUGAUAGGACAUACUGUCUUGUGUUCUUGUAGUGGCUUGACCAGAUUUGUAAGUAACUUGACCAGAUUUGUUUGAUUAAAAAACAGAGUUCCACCAUGUCUUAAAUAUCUUCUAACUUUUUUUAUAAUAAUACUAUCAUAAUAUAAGUAAAUGAUUAGAUUAGUUUGUACGUAUGUUCAAGUAUGACAUCUAAAUAACAAUCAUAUAUUUCGUAAAAACUCUAAUCACGUAUUUAUAACAACAACCCUAAUCAAAUCGUCAAACCAACACCAAAAUAGAAUUGGACCACAAGUGGAUUUCACCUUAUCUUUCCUCAACAACAUCCUACCUACAUGUAGCUUUCAAUCAAUAAGGUGGAUGGAAAAAAGGAAAACACACACCAUCAUGCUUGCAAACACAAGCUCAAGACAUUGAUGGUUCUUCAAUUAUAUUUGUGAGAUUUGGCCAGCUAGCUAGAGUAAGAUACAAGUAAUUUGGCAUUGCAUGUAGAUGGUGACCACUUGAAUUUAUAUCUCUACACAUACAAAAAUCCAUUGUCACAAGCAAAGGCAUUGGAUACCAAGUGGGCAUGCAGUACUACUCUUCAAUGAACUCCUGAAUUGAAUUUGCUCACGAAUUGGAUGUGCCAACAAAAAAUAAUAAACAUAAAUAAUUGUGGUUAUUUGAUAUAUAUAAAUAUUCAAUUUUGGUGUUCUGUGUGUUCUGAUCUGAUUUCAUAUGCACACCACCACUACUGCAAUUGGAGAAAGGGGCCAUCUGAUUUUAAAGGCUUUUGCUCUCUGCUCAAGAAAAAAGGCAACAAGGACCAUCCAUACAUAUAUAAUGCAUCCAACACUCUUAUUCAAUAGCUCCCCACCCACCCUCCACACUUUUGUUGCACUUACAUUCCCCGUGGAAUCCGUGAGACCUUCGACUAUCGAUUUACUGCUUACGUUAGUCAGUUCGAUUUUGAAGUGAUGUGCGUUUCUAGUUUUCUAUUUGAAAGAAAUGUAGUGCAUUGUAUCUUAGUUUAGAUCUAUGAGUGAUCAAUUAUCUAACAACGCCAGCAAAUUAGUUUAUUUAUGGAAUCAAAGUGGACUAGCUAGUACUUUGAUAACAUUAUUGUGGAUUUUAUUUUUCUUGGUUUUCAAAGACAAUGGUCAUGGUGUGUUUACCGUGAGUUAAUUUGUUACAAGAAGUCAGUGAAUCAUUGAUGGGAUGGGCUUCAAUUAUUGAAGUGGUAGUAGUAGAAGAAACUUCUUUCACAUGCAUCUUGGUGGCUAAACAAGCAAAUAUCUAUAAAUUCUAAAAUUCCCACCUAGAAUUCCUUUGGUUUUGGUAUUUAAUGAGGUUUAUUAAUGGUUCUGGGAAUUUGGUGAAUCUGGCUAUACUCAUUAUUAUGUGUUUUUGGAAAAUGUAGUAUUUUAUUGGAGUCAUAUACUAGCUUUUUUACAUUUGAGUUUUGACACAUUUUGAAGGAAGUGAAAGAAGACCAUAAUAUNNNNNNNNNNNNNNNNNNNNNNNNNNNNNNNNNNNNNNNNNNNNNNNNNNNNNNNNNNNNNNNNNNNNNNNNNNNNNNNNNNNNNNNNNNNNNNNNNNNNNNNNNNNNNNNNNNNNNNNNNNNNNNNNNNNNNNNNNNNNNNNNNNNNNNNNNNNNNNNNNNNNNNNNNNNNNNNNNNNNNNNNNNNNNNNNNUCAUUCAUUCCUUCACCAAAUUCAAAUGAAAAAAUAUGUUUCAAUCUUAAUCAAGGUUUGAAAUUUACAAUUCAUUCUUUUAAUAAUUUUUUUUAUGUUGAGACAUUGACCAAACUUGACGUUUUAGUUAAAAUCUCUUUCAUGAUUUUGUUAUUCACAGUAUCACGAUAAAUUAUUUCUAAAUAUCUCAUCUAAUGAGAACAAUAUAUGAGAAUACUUAUUGAAUUUAAUUCUCUAAUACUUAUAAUAUUUGUGUGUACUGUAGUAGUAGUACUAUAUGCAUAUACACCAAAACAAUACGAAACACAUUAGACCAAAUAUCGACAAAAUUAUUUGUUACUGGCCAAUGUGGAGACAUGCACUAGAUGUACAAUCACUUAGCAAAUACACUGUAUAUAUCUACUUUAUGAUAGAUGUUUAAUUUCAUACGAGUGAAUGGUUCAUUGAUUUACUAAAAUAUAUUGAUACAUAUUUAUUUUAAAGUUUGUAUGAACAUAACUACUCAAUAGUGUCUAGAAUAGACAAAUUUAUCUGUCUUAAGGCACAAAAAUCACCAAAAUUCCUGCUUGGUUGUUUCAAACUUGUGAGAAGCCUUGUGUUUUGACUACAAGCUCCCAUCAAAGUUCAUGGAAACAUGGAUGGAGACCAAAACUUCAAACUUCAACCAGUUUAUAAAAUUUAGGUAAAUUGGUAUACUUUGCAAACAGACAGUCAACAGGAACAGUUGAAUGUUUCAAGGGGGUCAAUAAAAUAUCAUGGAAAGAAAUAAAUACAAGUGAAAAACAUAAGUAAAGUGGUAGAUGAGUGAACCAAGCUCGGUCAUUGUAUGCCACCACAUGAAAUAAUGUUUUUUUAAUCUCUGUCAAUCAUUUAAUAAGUUUUGUUCAUAUAUAAUUAUUUUUUCAUAGUUNNNNNNNNNNNNNNNNNNNNNNNNNNNNNNNNNNNNNNNNNNNNNNNNNNNNNNNNNNNNNNNNNNNNNNNNNNNNNNNNNNNNNNNNNNNNNNNNNNNNNNNNNNNNNNNNNNNNNNNNNNNNNNNNNNNNNNNNNNNNNNNNNNNNNNNNNNNNNNNNNNNNNNNNNNNNNNNNNNNNNNNNNNNNNNNNNNNNNNNNNNNNNNNNNNNNNNNNNNNNNNNNNNNNNNNNNNNNNNNNNNNNNNNNNNNNNNNNNNNNNNNNNNNNNNNNNNNNNNNNNNNNNNNNNNNNNNNNNNNNNNNNNNNNNNNNNNNNNNNNNNNNNNNNNNNNNNNNNNNNNNNNNNNNNNNNNNNNNNNNNNNNNNNNNNNNNNNNNNNNNNNNNNNNNNNNNNNNNNNNNNNNNNNNNNNNNNNNNNNNNNNNNNNNNNNNNNNNNNNNNNNNNNNNNNNNNNNNNNNNNNNNNNNNNNNNNNNNNNNNNNNNNNNNNNNNNNNNNNNNNNNNNNNNNNNNNNNNNNNNNNNNNNNNNNNNNNNNNNNNNNNNNNNNNNNNNNNNNNNNNNNNNNNNNNNNNNNNNNNNNNNNNNNNNNNNNNNNNNNNNNNNNNNNNNNNNNNNNNNNNNNNNNNNNNNNNNNNNNNNNNNNNNNNNNNNNNNUUAAUCAAAAAAUCAUACAGUUAUAGAUAUGAUAUGGCAACUACUACCGGAAAGGAUGUUUAGGCAUAUAUUACCCAAACCCGAAAUUACAACAUGUGUGUAAUGAGUAUCAACUAUCCGAAUUUGAAUCAAACCGUUGUCAAGCCUAAAUUUAACUGUUGAAAGUAACAUAAUUAUUGUACACCAUAAAACCAUAUAAAUGACCAACAAAUUUUUUCUAAUCUUAUCAGUUAUAAAAAUAAUUCUAAUCAACCCAUCAUUAAAAAUUACUUUAUAUUAGCUUUGUUAUCGAGUAAGAUUCACAUAAACUAUAAUUCAUUCAUUUUUAUGUGGAUCACAAUCACCUUAAUACCAUUACAGUUUUACAAUGUUUAGCCAAUUUGAAUAUGGAUAAAUAUCAUAACAAUAGUUAGAAUAUAAUUUCUUAGUCUUUAUAUUUGUGCCUUCAAUAUAUAUGAAUACUAAGCUAAUGUGCUUUGUGUCGUACAACGCGCGGGCUACGGCUAGCCUCUGCGCAUUGCCCCUAACCCAUCUUUAACCUUAUGUACUCGGUAACGUGUUUUGUACUACGGCAAUGCUCAAAUUUGUUGUCCACAAAUGUUGUUUUUCAAUCGCUAUGCCGAAUUUUUAGAGUUUGAAAUGAUGGGUCAACUUAGAAAACAUCAUAAUCAACAUCUAAUAUAAACUUUUUAACAUAAUAUCAUAGUUCUAAACCUCGAGAUAGGCUAAGUCGUGGCUUCAGAAAAGCUCCCAUGGAUCGGCCACCUCUUAGAAAAGGUUAAAGAUAUAGAUGGUUGAAGACCAAGAUCGGAAGUUAAUCGUAGGCAUCUAAUCAAUACAAAAAAUUCUUUUUCUCUUUUUGUUCACCCAGAAACCCCGCCUCAUCGGUUCGAUCUCUGAUUCAGUUCUGAAAACGAUGUGAAAAAGUCAUGCCAAACCAAGGGUUUCAAAAAUCAUAGCGAUACCGACAAAUUGAAUCUAUUGAAAUGGUCAAGUGGUCAACUGGCUGGUCCGAUACAUUAAACUAGUUGAACCUUGCUAUAUAUUUUGUAAAUAAGUUAUUACAUUUUUUUAUCCAUUUGAUGAGUAUUUAUCGGUACAAUAUUUGACUACUAGUAUAUUUAAUUUUACAUAUUGUUCAACUGGUAUAGAACUGUAGUUGAACCAUCAAGCUUCUUACCACAAACUUUUUCGAUAUGGUCUCCGAUAAAAUUUUGAGAACAAUGGUCAUAACCAGAUUUAUUUUUUAUUUUUUAUUUUAAAUAAUAAAAAUAAUGAUUUAUUUAUUCGUUUUAACUAAUAAAAAUAAUCAAUAUUAAAUGAGACCUAACAAUUAGGUACAAAAACUGAAUCCAAAAAAGAAUACAAUAAGUAUUUAAACAAAAUGAAACAAAUUACAUAUUAUUUAUAAUUAGUCCAUCUUUAAUUUUGUUACUUUGAUCAUUUUAUUUAGAUAGAUUNNNNNNNNNNNNNNNNNNNNNNNNNNNNNNNNNNNNNNNNNNNNNNNNNNNNNNNUUAUAUAUUUUUAAUCCCCAUACUUUUUUUUUUAAAAAAAAAAAACCAGAUAGCGUUUUACUUCAUUCAAUUUUCAGCCAACGGAUCGGAUAUGAUAUAGUUUGAAAUAUAAGGAAUUUUGGAGGUAUAACAGUUUGAUAAAUAACUUGCAUGUUUUCCCGGCGAGGAUUUGAAAUUUUGAACAAAAAUACUAAUUUUAAUGGUUUGGUUGAUUUAUAAUGCACCACCCUUGAAUCCUUAUAAUCAAGUUGUUGAAGACGUGUGUGUUUGACGAUAAAUACAAAGUAUAAAAGUAAAUUCACUAAUGUUAAUUUUAANNNNNNNNNNNNNNNNNNNNNACUAAUGUUAAUUUUAAAUUCCUACUCAGACGAACAGAUUCAAAAUGGAAUAUGAAAUCAAUCAUACAUGAGACAACACUGAGAUUUAAACUCUCGUCCAAUUCCAUGCAAAUUUCCUUUCUAGACAUACAAUUUUAUAUCAACCAUCCUCAAGUUCCAAAACUAAACAAGUUCUAAGAUAAUUAAUAGUGAAUAAAUUUAUAUAUUUAUUAUUAACUAGACUAAUACAUAAAUAAUUAGUGAAAAUGGCUAUAAGAAAAGACCCUGUACAUUGAGGAUUGGUAUUCAUACUCUAAGUGCCACCAAAGUCCUUAUAAGUUCUUGACUAGUAUGUAAUCCAAAACCCCAAUCCCAUGAUCCAUUGAGUUAAUGACAUUGGAAAGCAUAAUGACAGUAAUUAAGAAUGAUUAAUGUUACGUGAAAAGAAGAAAAUGACACAACCUAAACACAAUUGGUGUCAAAUUUAAUUGCAACCACGGCUGGCAUGCACUUGUUGAUUAGAUUCAAUCACGAUUCUUGAGGAAAAAAUUAACACACACAGUGCCAUUACACGUGAAGAAAGGCAAUAACAAUCCUAAACAAGAUCAGUUCAAAUUUUAAGUAAUGAAGCACUAGAUCAUUGCAUGGAAAAGGGAAAUCAUANNNNNNNNNNNNNNNNNAAGGGAAACUUUUUUCUUGUUAAAAUAUUUUUGCAUUCAAAACUUAAUAACGAAAUGUCGAUUUUUUUCGCUGUUAUAAUCGGAAAAGUCCGGUGUUAAAUAAAAGGACAGUUUUUUUGUAGUGGUUAUAUAGUGAGACAUGAAUCCGAAUGAUGAAUGUCCAAAAAAGUAUUUUGAUACAACAUUUGUCUAACUACAAAAGAUUAUUAAUUAUUUUGAUCUAGGUGAAAUAUUAAACCCAUGUCCGAAACAACCUUACUUGAACACGGGUCUCGGUAUGUGAUUACGGUCCGUCAAUUAAUAUGCGAAUCAAACCAAUUUGGAUCAUGGGUUAUUGGGAUGGAAUUAUAACCAGUAACCUAGUACUAGCUAGGGUUAAUUCCAUUAUCUUUUUGUCUUUUUUAAAGUUGUUCCUUGUAAUGUAUAACAAUAGAUUUGUGUGAGUUUGCAAGUAUGUGAAAAGAAGAUAUUCAAUUUAUUCAUGAUAGGCAGACAUACCAGAAGGCACCACACUAUUCUUUAUGAUUGAGAUACGACCAUCCAACAAAUAAUACUCUCUAUGAGCUAGAGACCUUGUGUUUUUAUGUGUAGAAUCAGGCCAAACUUAGGCUGAGCUAUGCUGCCCGGUGCCCACUAAAGCAAGACAAUGUUUAUCCCUAGAGACUUCUAUACUAUUUAGAUUAAUUUUCCUUUUUAAUUGUCGAACGGUUGUAAUGUGGUAUUUGUAUGAUGUAUUUUGAUUAAAAUAAUUUAAAUUGGGUUAUUUGGACUAAAAUAUUUUGUUGUCAUCCGAAACAAAAAUUAUGGUAUUUAAAAACUGUGAUAUUCAAAAUAACUCGAAUCCAGUUAUUUCAAAUAUUUAGGUAUGAGGAUGGUAUUUGAAAUAACUUAAUUCAAAGCCUACAACCCAUUGUUUUGUAUUAGUCAAACAACCAGGGUCGUUUGGAUGAGUUAUUUUGUAAAUGAGGGAUUUGGAAGCAAAAUGAUGUAUGUUUGAAAAUGUGGUAUUCUUGAGGUGCAAAGCAUUUGAGGUGCAAAGCAUUUGUGGUGUAAGAAUUAUCUUGUUUGGCUAAUACAAAAUAAUGAGUUAUGGGUUUUGAAUUGAGAGGUUAAACUUGAGUUAUUUCAAAUGCCAUCUCCNNNNNNNNNNNNNNNNNNNNNNNNNNNNNNNNNNUUAAAAUAACUCGAUUCGAGUUAUUUCAAAUACCACAGUUUGAAAUACCAAGAUUUUCGUUUCAGAUGACAAACGAGGUAUUUUGACCCAAAUCACCCAUCCAAACGACCCCGUAUACCACAUUUUCAAAUAAUAAAUCAUUUUGCUCCAAAAUAAAUUAUCCAAAUGACUAAUAAGUGUUAAAAUUAUUUUAUUUUAUUAAGUCUAAAUUAAGUUUAAUUGAAAUUCGUAAUCAAUUUUCAUUAUAGUUUCAUUUUAAGUGGCAUUUAACUAAAAUGAUAAAUCAAUAUUCGUGCUAAAGUAACUUUUUUCCCCCAAACGACUCCAUCUAUUUUAUUUAUAAUAUAUAGACUAUUAUCAACGAAAACAAAUAAAAUAUAAAAACAUUUUCACCUACGAAAUUCAUGAAAGUGAAAGUGUGUAUAUAUAUAUGAUGGGUGACCCCAAGAAGCCGACAGUAUGUAGCCUCUCCCGCCAAUUCACAUGCAAACAUAACCCACGCCGCACUCUUCCAAACCAAACCAAACCAAACCUCUUUCCUUAAUCUUCUCAUCUCAUUUACUUUGUCAGUUACUCGGUUCCACUCCUACCGACUUCUUGUUUUUUCAGUUUCUCGAUUCUAUAAUAUACUUACGAAUCCAAAUAACCAUCCGAAAUAAAAAUCAUGGUAUUUGCAUUGCAUAAGAAUUAUAUGAUUAACCUAUACACAAUCGGAUCAAUAAACAUGGCUACAAAAAUUUUGUACUUUUUUCCACUGAAUUUAUUUGCAUAAGAAUAAGCAUCAACAUUUAUAUGUCCAUAUCAAAAGGGGCAUGCCUGCUUCACAUAGAGCAAUGUUCUGCAUUGACAACAAAAGUGAAAAUGAAUCUAGCUAGUAAAGCAUAAGCCCGCACCAUUUCACCCAUGAACAUAGAUGAUGAAUGAUGUUUUCCCACCCUUUUUUUUUGUUUUCGCUUCACUCAGAUCGCCUUGCUCGAAAUGCGAACCAAAUCGAUAGAUCCAACGAUCCCUCUUCAGUAAUCACAAACAAUAGGCCAAAUCCUGCAAAAAUCUGAUCUUUCGGGAAGAAGCCUGAUAGUACGGACCACGGGGAUUAAUGGAUGGAAAUCUAAUUGGGUCUCCCAACGAGGCCAGCACAAACCCAUUGGUCAUCUUGUGUUCUGCUCUUCUUUACCAGUGGCUGCUGCUGCUGCUCUAGCUGCUCUCCUAAUGGCAGUGGUGGAUGGGGAGAUGAAGUGGAUGAAAAUGAUCCAUUUCCCACUGCCCAAGAAUCGUUUGAGCUGUCACAGCUAAAUGCAUCGGUAUUAGCUGCAUCAAUCACGCCGCUAGGGCUGCUUGGAUACAACUCUUCGUCUUCUUCUUCUUCUUCCUGUUCAUAGUAGUACUUUCUCUUCUUCCUAUUGCACUUUCCAGACACCACCUCCGUUACCACCUCAUAACACUCCUUCACCUUUUCCUGUUCAUCAUCAGAAGAAAGACCCCACAAAUUUGCAUUCAAUACUUUCGCUUAACAAACAACAACCAUCAUCGACUAAUUAUCAAAAGACCAGCAACAAUAAUACAUAAUUAUGUCUCCCCCAGCAGCACUUUUGUCCUUUUCUUGGUAAUGGAAGGCAACAAACAAGACCAGCUUACACACACCUAGGACGGUUACUACUUACUAGUUACUACUACUGACUACCCAUUAGAUUAGAUUAUUAUCAAACAGUAAAGUAAUCCUUCUUUUCCUUUACAGUUGUACAGACUAGCUUUUGGCAGACCAAAUUUGACUGGGUUUUUUUUGCCUCUGUUUGCUAAUAAACAAUGCCAUAAUCAAGUACAAAAGAAUUGUAUAGGGAGAGAUGGAGGGUAAAAAAAGUGGAAAAAAAACCAACCUUGCUGAUGUUGAGGACAGUGAGUAGCUGCGUCUGAUAGUCAAUGGGGUUAAAGUGCUCAACUUGGUCAAUAACGUGCAUCAUUGCUGCAGUUGCCAGAACUGAUGGCUGAUAUCUGACAGAUCUUGAAUCUGCACGCAGAAAACAUACCCAUAAAGGACAUCAAUCAAUGACUCUACUCUGCCAAGGGGAGAAAACAACUAAAACAGAUGUAUUUAUAUCAAAGUUACCGGAGACUAAGCAGACUAGGAAACUAUGGCAUCUGGUUAGGAACUCCCAAUGAACAUUGCUCUUCAGUCCAAGUCUCCUCACAAUGUGAUCCACAAAUGAGAUCGGAGUCACUGGAUGCAUCUUCCACCCAAGUGCAGACAGCACUAGAAGCUCCAUUCUUUGAAUGGUCUUCGCUUCAAAUACAUACUUUGUAUCCUCAACCUGUAGUAAGUAAACCCAAAAGAGAGUUGGAACAAAAAUGACAUAAAAAAACAAUGUAUAAGUUUUAAUUCUCUCUUGUUGGCAUUUUGUCGAACACCUGAAGGUCAAGAAGAAGAGGGACGUGGGUUUCCUCCACUUUAGCAGCCAGGGAGAGACAAGUGACUGCCACGAGCUGGAUCAUCCAUGGCUUCUCCUUCUGGUAACAAGGAGUCGCAAGGAACCGAUCUAGGUAGUUAAUCGCUAACACGGCGGUGAGAUUCGAAAACCCAUAACGUGCAUUGACUUUCACCAUCCAUUCCACCGCCCGCCGGCGAGCCGAUGAGACGACACCGUCGAAGACGACGGCAACGGAGAUCUUCUCCUCUUUGGCAAAGAGGGAGCGUAGCUCGUCGUCUUCGUAGAACAAGUCCUGUUCCAGCAGCAGAAUUGGAGAAAGACGAGGGAGUGAGUUUGAGUUGUCGUCGGAAUCGACAACUUCUCCCUGGCCGUCGCUGUCGUCGUCCCAUCUCUCUUCCUCCUCGCAGUAAAGGGAAUCGUCGUCGAGCAUUGGUGGUCCGUCGUUAACAGAGAGUUCCGCCGGCGACAUCCUCGGGGAAGGUGUGAGUAUGGUGUCCAGAGGUCAUUAUCCGGAGGAAGUCAUGGUGCUUGUGAGAUUGUCUGUGUGUUAUCAGUUAAUGGGUGAGGGGAAGAAGAUGAAGAAGAAGAUGGAGUUGUGGGAGAUGAGAGAAGGAAGAGGAAGAGAGGUUUAUUGAGGAUGGGAAAACAGAGUGGUCUGCAGAUUUAUACGGAGAAAGAGAAAGAGGGAAACAGUUUGGAGUGCUUUCGGCGUGUGAAGGUUUGGCGGGCAGAGACCUCUGGACAAGUAAAAAAGACAAGUGUUGUGUUGCAGAUUAACAAUGGCGAAUUAUUAUUAUUCAUUGGAAUAUAACAAAUUUAACAAUGGUGAAUUACAGUAAAGGUCACUUCACAUUAAUGUUUAUCGUUCACAUUCAUCCUUUUUUCCUCUCAUGUUAAUUUUUGAAUCUUAUGAUAAUUAGUAUAGGUUAAUUACAUACUAUGAAAUUGUAUUGUGAAUAUGUAACGCUCUAACAUUUUUUAAUAAUAUAUUAUCUGCUUUGGGUCUAGAUUCACAUAAAUUUAUUUUGUUUUGGGGUGCAUGAUGACUUUCAAGAAGUGACACAUUGGCAUCGGCCCCAGUCUAAGCACUAUUUUAUUUAACCUCAAAAUGUGUCUUAUUAAUUUAAGUUAGGUGAUUCUUUAUAGCAUAUGGAUCUCUUCUAUGAAUUUAUAUGGGAUUUAGUGUUUGUAAGCAUGAGAUUUUUUUUAUUUUUGCGGCUAAUAAUUAUCACUGAAAUGAAAAAAAUCAAAGUCAUGUAUAAAUUAUUUGGUGAUAAUUAUGAUGCAUGCUCGUCCAUCACAAAUUUACAGUUCAGUGUCCCUGAAUCAUUUACCAUAAAUAGUUAUGAAUCCAGAGGCAAACAUAUAGCUUUGAGUGAUCAUUUUGUUAGUAUAUCAAACUUAGUUGACCAUGUUUCUUAUGCAUAAGACUUAAGUGACUACUUGGUAAUUAUUCCAAAUUAACAUGGAUACAGGAGAUAGAAAAAAAAAACAUAAAAUGGACACAGUGAAAUAAGAGAAAAAUUGAAAGGGCACACAGACCGAGCCGGGACCCGCUUUUUGCGUUUGGCCCCCUCUAGUUUUGUUUUAUUUUAUUUUAUUUUAUUUCCCCAUAUAUAUAUUCUAAGUGAAUUAUUUAUAUUUAAAUAGUGGGAAAGAGACCCAAGGCAAAAUCUAAAUUCAGUCAACAGACUUGUUGGCCCAACAAAAAAAGCUAGAUUUCGUUGAGCUACAUCGACUAGUAGUGGUGUUCAUAUGUUUUAUAGGACAACAUAUGGGUUUGUACUUUGUAUUUAUAAUUCUAAUACUUGGUGUUGGGUUUAGCUACAACAUAAUAGUUGGUGUUUCACAUUCAAUGUUUGAUAUUUCAUUUACAUAUGUGGGUCACUUUGAAUUAGCCAAAUAUAAUAAUUUCCAACCUACAAAUAAUCCAUCUAAAAAAAUUUGUAAAGUUUGGAUAACGGGUAUCGAGGUAUAUCAAACCCGUCAGAUACUCGAUACCCGUUUGGGUAUACCCGACGGGUUUUCUGAAAUAUCCAUUAUUAACAAAACCUUACUACUAUUAUGAAAAUUUAUCAAACUUAGCUAUUGGGCUAAAUGUGGAGAGUAAGUAAGUAGUUAACUAGUUUCAUUAGUUUGGAUGAUUGAGAAUGAGAAUGCGACUGAAAUUAGUAAGUUAGUCAUCUGAUAUAUGAGUGAGUUUUUUAGUUAUAGUAUUUUUCUUGUUGUUGAUUUGUUUGUUCGAAUAUUUGACGGAUAAUUGAACCAACAACAUCUAUAUAGGUAUAUAGAUACCCGAACCCCAAACAAAUUUGAGGUUUGGCUUGAAUUUCUUUACAUAUUUGAUGCAAAUACCUACUUAAUACAUAUAUAAUUACUCGAACCCGUCCCGAUUUUCCACUCUAAGUAUACCAAUACUCCAAUAGAAUAAAAACCAAUGGUAUACAAAAUUCAAUUUGCACUUGAAAUUUUAAAAGACCCCAAAACACAUCUCAGUUGCACUCUCUUGGGCAACUAAAACAAAAGGAACCAAAUAAAAAUUCUAAUCUAGUAGCUUUUGACCGAGGUAGAUAAUAAAUAAAUUAAUUUGGAUGUUCGUAUUUAGAUUUAAUAUAGGCAACUUACAAUAUAUUUUAUACAAGAUACAAAAAAUUUUCAAGUAGUACCUAACAAAUGGUAAAGAACGCUUAAAAGGUUAUGAGUUUAGAUCAUAACUUUUUUGCCCUUUAAUUAAACUUCCAAUUGGACCAAUCAAAGACACUAAUAACAAAGGGUUAUCGAAAUCUACGACAUAAUUCAUCCUUGCAUAAGUGAGAUCCGUCCCCAUGACAACACCGAAAUUUACUGAACAUUCAAGUGAAAACUCAGUGAUACUCCUUCUCCACCAAUACAGGGUAUAAAAAGAAACCCAACAGGUGAAAACUUGAAUCCACAUUUGCUUGCUUGUUUUGGUGUUGUUGGUGGUGUUCAUACUUCUUCUCUAGUUUACCUAACACUUACCAUUAAAAAUAUGAUGAUAAUAAUAAUGCAAUAAACAAACCAGAUAAACAGAAAAGGACAAAGGAGUUAAUUUGGACAUGAACGAAAGUCAAGAGCAAGAAAAAUCCAAGGUUUCUACUUAUAUGCCAAAGUGGGGACACAACAUAAACUUCCAAAACUAAUGUAAGUAUUUCAGUAUUCCCAAAUGUAGAAAUCCGAUAGGCAAUCAUGUAAUUAAAUUUGUUAGGCUGCACUUGGGUUUGGUAUAUGUCAACGUUUUCUAUCCUGCGGUACGUCUUUCUAUUAGCCCUACUGGAUAGACGAAUUCGAAGGCCAGCGAUGCUCUAAUUUCUAAAAUCGUUGACCAUUUUUCGUCAACGAUUGUAAUUGAUCCAGGGGUAUUUUUACAAUAGAAAUAUUAAUGGUGCCUUUCACACCGGACGACUUCCUUGAUUGAAUUUUAGUGUCGAAUCCUUUCCCGACGUCAAAUAGUCUAUAGAAUCCAUCGCAUUCUUGGUGUGUAGUGAAGGGCAGAAGCUUUCACUUGUCCUUGUCUGUUGGACCUAUGUUCUCCUCACCUACACAAUGUAAGUUACAUUAUAAGACCAUUCUGACUACGUGAUUAUUAUGUGACCUUUCUAAAGAUGUUAUCAUUAUAUUACUAUUCUAACCGUUGUUGUUCUUAUAUCACCAUUCUGACUAUGUUACAUUGUUCUACCAGGAAACGCAUUAAAUGCAAUCCAACAGACUCCAAAAGUAUUAAAAGUCACUCCACAACAAUCCAAAAAAAUAAAAAGGUAACGAAUUUUCCAUAAAUCCCUUACAAUAUGUGACUUUCGCAAUUUUACGAGAAGAAUAUUUUUUUUGUGAUCUACAAGUAUAGAGAAGAACAAAAUCCACCUUUUGCAAGUGGACAUUACAAUAAACAUACAAUGAACAUGUAUACCUUUAAAACCAUUCAUCUGACUCAGAUCUGACUGACUGAAACUACCAUCGCCGAAAUCUUCUUGGGUAACGUCAUCUACAUCAUCUGCACCACCGUAGCUCUCUCCUUCCUCUUGUGGAUGAAAUUUUCAUUCUUCGAAAAGUCCUUGUAACCCCUCGUCACCAACUGAACCUCAACUGCCAUUUAUCUCUUCUACUUACCACUUCAUUCAAUUAACAAAAUAAAGACUUCAUCGUCGUCAAUGACGGAAGCGAAGGAAAUGACCAAACUUUAUCGUCAUCAAUGGCAGAACAUAAGGAAAUGGCCAAGAGAAGGAAAGACGUAAAUAAAAAAAGAAAAAGUUGAUAUUAGUAUUUUAUGUUCAUUCAAUAUAUCAAAUAAUUUUUAUUAUUAAAUUCUAUAUACAAAUCUUGGUGGUGUCAAAUCAUUGACAUGAAAGUACAAUUACAAAAAUACAUUAAGAAAAUAAUGAAAAUAAUGCAGAUUUUUGCGUCAGUCCUUUUCUCGUCCAGUCGAAAUUUGCCAUUCUGAUUCUACCCAUGCACUAUCUUUCAUACUCAUCGCGCGAAAGUCAAAUCAGACGAUCGAAACCAUAUCCUCCCCAGCGGAUAGAAACACAUAUCCGUAGAUUAGAAAAAUUGGGUUUUUCUUGUGUUUGUAUGCCUGGUUCUUUUGUGUGUGCAUGACAUCAAAUUUUUGAUACAUUACUCAUGCCCUGAAUUUUCCUAUGGGCGGGGGAGUGGUACAAGUUACGGUUCGAACUACUGUCAACAUAUAUUGACUAAGUGAAUGUAUGAGAACCGUGAUUAGUACCUUAAGAAGUCGUAUAGAUGAUGAAGUUUGAGAUUGAACAUGGUAUGUAUGUGUGCCGUUUGCUCACUCUACCAUCUCCAUAACUUCAUUUGAUAGGGUAUUACGUGAAUUUAUCUUUGCCACCAACAUUGGAAAAUGAUCGGACGAGAUUUGGCCAAAAAAUUAAAUACCCUGAUCAAAAUCUAAAAAUUUAUGAAUUUUUCAUUAUCAUAGUUCAGGACUUAAGAGGACCCUAAUCAUUUGACGAGAGGAGCAUAUCCCGAAUGUCGGAUCUCCAUAUGUGAUGGUGGUAUUAGAGUUAGCCCAUAACAACUUAACAAAUGGAACUCAUUACGUGUCUAAGAGUUACUUCAAUUACGAAUUAAACUACAAAUUUAUUGACCGUUUAUCUUUUGAUAAAUAAUAUAAAGAGGGCAAUAACUCACUACUAUUACACUAAUUAAGCCAAAUAUGAGUAGUUGUCAAUGGAAUGGUUGUGUUACUUAUAAGUGCCCUUCUUGAUUUUCUUUUGUCAACGAAUAGUCAAUGUUAGACAACUUUUAACGAUGGCUUUUGGAAUUCAGAUUUGCUUGGGUUAUCAUACAUCAACACACAAGAUUUCCACUUUUUGGAAAACAAAUUUGGAAGACAACCCCCCUCUUUUUUUCCCACUCACCCCAAUCUUCGAGCAAGAUGGUGGCAAAUCAAAGGUCCCAAUCACAACUCUAUGAUAUUUGCGUUGGUCUCUCAUACUUUUCAUAUGAAUUAUUUGCCAUACGUCAAAUUCGGCUAAUUUGGGUUGUAAUCUAAUUAUACCGUAAACAAAUGAGGUGUAAUUGAGAUGGUAGUUUUAUCAAUUUUCAGUUUAGAAGCUAAAAACACACUCCUUAUCACCUACACUUUUAUAACACCUUCAAUCUGUUUAAAUAUCGAUGAAAUUAUCAACCCAUCACCAAAAUGAAGUUAAAAGCAAAAACCCAUUUGCCCUUCAAACUUUCUCCAAUCAUAUCUCCCACCACUACCACCUCCAUCCUGGCUGUAUUACAAAGUUGAACCCCCAACAAUUAUUCUGAAAUGACCCACCUCAGAUUUUGGUGGCACCUUUUUUCUCACCUCAUUAGCUUUUUUGAGGUUUUGACUUCACCACAAAUGUGCAGCACUAUAAGCCCUCUGUUGCCUUUUCCCAUAACUGUUUCUUGUUGCUGCUGCAUGAUCACUACUAAUUCAUCUUUUGCCAGCCAAACAUGCAUCAUCCCCCCAAGUGUUGUUGAUUGCCACCUUCAUUGUCUUAAUCAUUGCUCAACAAAAAAGCACUCCACUUUUCUCACUAAUGCUGGCCCUCCUAACCAACAUUGUGGCCAGAGUCGUGGGGUCGGAACAUAAUCGAGGUAAACGAACAUAUUCGGUUGAGUACUAUGUAGAUAAUGAAUGAUUUAUCCGAUAUUUCUGUGCAUAGUGGUCUCUUAAGGCAAAGUUAACCUCAACUGAAUGCUGAUCCAUUCCUAAAAUCAUCGGCACAAUCCACAAAAUCAAAGCGAUGUUAACUUCGUAAUAUCGGUUUCGAAAUGAGGUUCACUUGGUAAGAAAAAAAAUUGCACUAUGUUCAGGGAGUCAAUUGUUCAUACACCUGUGGAUUCAACUUGAUUAAUUUGAAUAAAACUUGACUUCUUAGUUCUCAUCAAUAUGAACGAUGAAAGAAAAAAUGAAAAAAAUUCCAAUUGCGUGUGGCAGGGAGAUUCUGAAAUUGCAGAGGCUUGGUUCGAUCAAGCCACAGAGUAUUGGAAACAAGCUAUAGCACUUACUUCCGAAAAUUAUAUUGAAGCACAGAAUUGGCUGAAGAUCACAAGAUGUUUCGAAUAAUAUAGAAAAGUUUUAAGAUUUCUCAACAACCAAAGAUAACUGUUGAAAAUAUGAUUGGUUUCAAGGAAAGCAGAGGGAAUAUAAUCAAUUAAAAAAAUUUACUGGUGAUGUGACUGUAAUUGAGUAGUAGAAUGACUUAACACUGCUGUUGAGUGCAGUUAACAACCAAUCACACCACUAAUGAGCAGCACAGCUUCUUCCAUGAUUUGAUCCAUUAGUUAUUUAUCAGAAAACAAUCCACUCAAACAAAAUUUCACGACAGAGAGAAAUCAUCACACCUGAAAAAUAUGCAGUUCUAUCUACCAAGAAGGUAAAAAAGUUUGAUUAUACAUGUUGCAUUCCACAAUCAAGCAUCCGAGUUCUUCAUCCCUAAUAUGGUGGUGGAGGGUAAUGUCCAUGAGGACCUACAAAACGAAAAAGAUAACGACCAUUACGUUAGCGUACAAAGAUUUUAUACGCCGAGAAGUAAUGAAUUCGGAGGUACUGGUUAAGAACGCGGCAUUACCUGGAGGAGGGUAAGGUGAACCGUGUGGAGGAGGUGGAUAGGGUGAUGAUGAUGGAGGAGGAUAAGCCGAAUGAGGUGGAUAAGAUGAUUGAGGAUAAGCAUUUGGCAUCGAAGGAUAUGGGGAUGGUGCAUAUGGUGGAUGCUGUUGCGGAUAUGAAGAGUGGGGAUAUGACGGAUAGGCUGCACUUGGGGGAGUGUUAGAGUAACCUGGUGCAGUAGGAGGCGGUGCGUAUGCUGAUUGUGGUGGUGCCGAGUACAUCGAGGCAUGGGGAGCGUAUGCUCCGUGCGGUGGUGCUGAGUGAGAGUGACUUCCAGUUGGUUUCUGUGACAAAAAUGAAACAUACAAAUUCAAUUUUCCACCAUGCAAAAUCUGAAUGUAAGAAGAGAGUAUCUAGGUGCAUAUGCAGGGUCUUACUUUGGCAUUGGCAUAGUGCAUUAUGAGCCGAACUUCACCAGCAUGCCUGAGAUGGAAAAAAGGGUGAGCUUAGGAGAUAAGUAUGAAUCCAUCUGUGCCGAACAGUGAUAGGCAGAUCGUAUCGAACAAGUAGAAUCUCGUACACUAGAGUGAACAUUAGUAAGUACAGAAUUCAGUCAUAUUCUGGCCAAGCUUUUUGUUUUUUUGUUGAAAUUUUAUCGAUUGUUUUAAUUGCUAUUCCCUAUUUGAAGAUUAUGAAUCUUAACUAGGAGGUUAGUCCUAUAUACUGACACAGUUGAAUGAAAUAGAGUUUUCGAGUACUUUGACUUGUUUUUUGAGUGGAUUCUCAAGCAAAGUCCUGCUGUUGGAUUAGAGAGACACCCGGCAGACUUUAUCACAGUCCAUCCUUCAUAAACAAACCCAAUUGCCAUUGUUCUUUUGAAAUUCCAGCACCCCUAACAGAUUCAAGCACAUCACCAUAGCUUAAAGUUCUUCAAUUGAACUCGAUCCUAUUGACGAAGAAGAAGCUUAAGACAAGUGAACUACAAAAUACAAUCUCAGCUAUAAGACUUCACGAACGACACGGGAACAGACUUAGUGGUACCACUACAUCAAACAGACAUGAACCCAUGAUGGUUCAGGGAGUGAUCUUAUAGGGACAUACAAUGGUGCAAUCUGAAUCAAACCCAACAAGACAUCUCAACAAAUACCUGCCAGUUUUCGUUUUAAGUGGCCAGGCUGUAUCAUCAUAUCCCUCUGCAAGAACCUUCUGCAAUUGAACUCUGCAAAAAGAAUUAUUUUUUUGAUUAGAAUUACUAAAAUUGUAAUGACACCAAACCAAUUAGACCAUCGUGAUUUUAUACUUCUCCUUUUAAUGUUCUACUUGUAAAUCUGGGUUGCUAAUAUCAAUAUUCAACCCUACAAAGACAUACUCAAACAUGCUAUGCAAUAGAGUUUACUCACUUGCCAGUGCCAAUGAAGUCGUCAAACUUCACCGUGUUACUGUUCCAAACAACAACAAUCAAUUCCCUCAGACCUUCAAUCAGAGUGAAGACGAACUUCUCUUGAAACGUAGGGUUUUUCCCUCCAUCUACGUGGAACAAUUCACAACAUAGAAAUUCAGCAAUCGAGAUCUAUCAACACAGAGAUCUAAAUCAGAGCAGAAGUUGUUUAUUUUAUACCAGUGCAAGUUCUAGUCCGGGACUUGUUACUGCCGUAUUCAACACAGACGUAAGGGUCCUGCCUCGAUAUCCAUUCCGUGUCCUUCAAUUUCGUGCACCCGACAACUGCGACCAGAACACAACAACAACGCAGAACAAGUUACCAAUCGAUUACAGCCCGUCAAAGUUUCAAUCUUGAAACAGAACAGUAGAGAAAAGAACGUACCGGUGACUUCAAGGAGCUGGCCUUGAAUCCCAGAAGCAAACGACAUUGGAUUAUUGUUGAGAAGGAAAAGAAAGGAUGAAUUGGGGGUGAAUCAAAGUUGACUUAGAAGGGUCUAAAGUUCGCCACUCUGCCUUUGUUCUUUUUAUAUAAACAAAGAGAUAAAGAGGACGGGCGAGAAAUCUGCAGUAACGCUGUUAUGAGAUGGGGAUACUUAACGCUUACAGCGUCUGAGUCGCCAUUGACGCGGCAGCGGGUGAUUUCGUUUAACCGGCCAUUUCCCCUUCGGUUUCAGUAAUUUUAGUUUGCAGAGUCAUAAGCAAUUACGUUACUGUAAACGUGUAAGCGCUCACCAACCAAACUAUACCGAUACAAGUAUCAUGUACAUUUUCCUGUACAAAGUAUCACAUGUUUCCAUGUGUAUUAUUAAUCUUUUGUGACAUCUCCCCGUGCAUUGAAUGCAUGGGGUGGCAUUCGUUCACAAAGACACGGUUUAUGAACCUCGUACAAGGAUUGCUGAGAAUUGGGCCGUUGACGAGUAAGUCUAUUCGCCGGUAGCUGGGUGUUUGGAUUGGAAAAGUUGGUUUGUGAUUCGGUUUGAUUUUAAAUAAGUCAAUUUUGAGUUAAGUUUAAGGUGUAUUUGAUUCAAUAUAUUUGUGAGGUGGCUCGACUAUAUAGCUUGUUAGUAAAUUCAAUAAACAAAUUAUAUAUAAUAUUUUUUGUGUUAAUGAAAAUGAAAGUGAUAUAUAAUUUAGAUUUAACUAUUUUUAUUGAAAUAAAAAUUUAUAAAUUUAAGAUAGUUUUUUAUUAUAAUAAAGAUAGUUUGCUCUUUAAUUUGAGUCGUUGUGUUUUUUAGUAUAUAAAAUUCAAAUUCAACUUAAAUUUGGAUUGAUCAAGGUACUUUAAUGAAUGAAGUUCAAUUGAGUUCAAAUUUGACUUGUCAACUGUUGUUAAUGAGCCACACUCAAAUAGGCUCGAACUAAAACUUUCUAGCUCAAGUUCGAGUUCACUUAAAAGUAACGAACCGCAUUUGAACUCAAAUUCAACUCGACUCAUUUCGUGAACAACCCUAAUUAAAGAAAAUAAGGCUUUGGUAGAGACAAGGCUACCAUCUCCAAAACACCAAGGGACCAGACACGAUUAGAAUUUAGAACAUAAGUGUUCUGUAAAAUAUACAUUGAGCUUCUGCAUUUUUCAGUUAAAGAAAAGUAUAAUCCAACGCAAGUUUCUGCAUGCAUUCUUUGAAAUCACUAAACUUCAUAUAAACAUAUCCGAAGCAAAUCGAAUAGUCCCCAACUUUCCUGCAUUUGAUUAAAUUGGUGUCUGGAUACAAUAUGUACAUUAAAACCCAUCACCAUGCUGUAAUAAUGAUAAAUGUUCACUCAAUGAUUUAAGAUCAAGGAAUGGACCAUCUCUAAUAAUUCAUAAUAAUCAAAGUACACUUCAAAUUUUCAUAUUCAACUUGUGGAUGAGGGUUAGCAAAAAUCAAGCUUUCUUCUCCACUUUGC